GACGAACGCUGGCGGCGUGCUUAACACAUGCAAGUCGAACGGUAAGGCCCUUUCGGGGGUACACGAGUGGCGAACGGGUGAGUAACACGUGGGUGAUCUGCCCUGCACUUUGGGAUAAGCCUGGGAAACUGGGUCUAAUACCGGAUAGGACUACGCGAUGCAUGUCGUGUGGUGGAAAGCUGUUGCGGUGUGGGAUGGGCCCGCGGCCUAUCAGCUUGUUGGUGGGGUGAUGGCCUACCAAGGCGACGACGGGUAGCCGGCCUGAGAGGGUGUCCGGCCACACUGGGCCUGCGAUACGGCCCAGACUCCUACGGGAGGCAGCAGUGGGGAAUAUUGCACAAUGGGCGCAAGCCUGAUGCAGCGACGCCGCGUGGGGGAUGACGGCCUUCGGGUUGUAAACCACUUUCAGCACAGACGAAGCGUAAGUGACGGUAUGUGCAGAAGAAGCACCGGCCAACUACGUG
Molecule: ribosomal RNA, 464 nt
Filed under: uncultured bacterium
Lineage: Bacteria
Description: partial 16S ribosomal RNA
Rfam family: Bacterial small subunit ribosomal RNA
Source: RNAcentral